GUCCACGCCGUAAACGAUGGGAACUAGGUGUGGGAGGUGUCGACUCCUCCCGUGCCGGCGCUAACGCAUUAAGUUCCCCGCCUGGGUAGUACGGCCGCAAGGCUAAAACUCAAAGGAAUUGACGGGGGCCCGCACAAGCAGCGGAGCAUGUGGUUUAAUUCGAUGCAACGCGAAGAACCUUACCUGGGCUUGACAUGUUUGUGACAGCCGUGGAAACACGGUCUUCCUUCGGGACACUUACACAGGUGGUGCAUGGCUGUCGU
Molecule: ribosomal RNA, 263 nt
Filed under: uncultured bacterium
Lineage: Bacteria
Description: partial 16S ribosomal RNA
Rfam family: Bacterial small subunit ribosomal RNA
Source: RNAcentral